This 57-nucleotide small RNA is filed under the name Robertmurraya massiliosenegalensis JC6. RNAcentral describes it as "Bacillus sp. JC6 Streptococcus sRNA SpF59 (ldcC RNA)". It matches the Rfam family "Streptococcus sRNA SpF59 (ldcC RNA)". Lineage: Bacteria; Bacillati; Bacillota; Bacilli; Caryophanales; Bacillaceae. The record is from Rfam by way of RNAcentral.
UGACCACUUUUUCUUUUGGAAAAAGUUAAGGCAUCGGUUCGCCGGGUCAAAUGCCGA